This is a long non-coding RNA of Podarcis raffonei (Aeolian wall lizard), 1585 nucleotides long. RefSeq lists it as uncharacterized. Lineage: Eukaryota; Metazoa; Chordata; Lepidosauria; Squamata; Lacertidae. The record is from RefSeq and is a predicted model, not a curated record. The transcript has 2 exons.
ACCGGAUUUUAGACAGGGUGGAACGGCGGCUUGGGCCAGAGACUGGUUAAAAAUCUUCAUAAAGAUUCCUGCCAGUUGGUCCAAACAAUCUCUUAGCACCCUGCCAGCCACCCCAUCCGGGCCCAUAGCCUUCCUCGUGUUUACCUCCUUUCAUAUUCACCUCCUUCUUCCACCCUGGCAGCAUUUCCUGUAGGUAGUGAGGCCAAUAGCUCUGACAUCCCAGUUGGAGCCACCGUUGGUGUCACCUCAAAUCGGGCAAAGAAGGUCUUCAACUCUCCCACCAAGGAAGCAGUACUCUCUACCACUGAUGUAUUUCUUGAUUUAUAACCAGUCAGAUGUUGAACUCCCUGCCACAUUUGUCUAGUAUCAUUUCUUAGAUGGUCCUCAAUUUUUCCUCUGUACUCCGCUUUUGCUUUCCUGAUACCCCUCAUCAAGUUUGCUCUUUCUAUACCAUACGGUCCCCGGUCCCCAGUUCUAAAAGCAGUUUCUGGCCUUCAAGAAUCUCCUAACCUCUCCCGUCAUCCAGGGCUUCCUAUUCGGAUACAACUUAACAUACCUUUCCCUGGUGCAUUUCCUGUGCCAAAUCUAAGACCGUUGAUGUAGACGUUUCUAGAUCUUGAUGGUCGAACAUAUUCCAAUUGGUCUCCUGGAAACAGUCCUGCAACUGCUGAGAGGCUCCCUCAGGCCACACCGUAACCAUCCGUGUUUGUAGCUGGCCUUGUUUCCUGAGGGGUGUGUACACUGGUGUCAGAAGCAGGGACACAUGAUCUGAACCACCAAGGGGCGCCUCAUAUUCCUGUCCAAUGUUCGUAUACACCUUGUCAAGAGUAUUUUCUCCCCUUAUUGCAGACUCAAUGUGCUCAUGGGAUUUUGGGAGUGCUGCCCUCACAUCUGUGUGAGUGAAGUCCCCCACAAUAAUCUGCACUGGAUUGGAUUUGAUAUCCCGCCUUUCACUCCCUUUAAGGAGUCUCAAAGCAGCUAACAAUCUCCUUUCCCUUCCUCCCCCACAACAAACACUCUGUGAGGUAAGUGGGGCUGAGAGACUUCAGAGAAGUGUGACUGGCCCAAGGUCACCCAGCUGCUGCAUGUGGAGGAGCGGAGACGCGAACCCAGUUCCCCAGAUUACGAGACAACCGCUCUUAACCACUACACCACACUGGCUGCCUCCGGGUAUCUGUUCAAUUUAGCAUUGAUGUUUUCAUGCAUACUACUCAUGGCCCUGCAGGCAUUUGCAGGUGGUGCUACAUAAGAAAGCUGCAGAGAUAGUGCAGGAUAGUGUGCACCCCGGAAAUGAUCUCUUUCAGCUUCUGCCUUCUGGAAGAAGAUACAGGGUUAUAAAGACUAGGACUAGCCGCCUGAAAAACAGUUUCUAUCCAAAUGCAAUUUUGGUUUUAAAUACAGUGUAAGGUAGUCUCUAUGGGAGUAUAUUAUCUUUAAUUAUGGGGUAUCAGAGUUUUUAGGGGGCUAACCAGGUUGGGAUAGCUGGGAUAGCAGGCUUGUUGGUUUUUGAAUGUCUGAUGUACAUUUUUUCAAUUUCGUUGUUCUGUAUGGGACAAUGACAAUAAAAAUUAUCGUAUUGUAUUGA